Molecule: ribosomal RNA, 286 nt
Filed under: uncultured bacterium
Lineage: Bacteria
Description: partial 16S ribosomal RNA
Rfam family: Bacterial small subunit ribosomal RNA
Source: RNAcentral
UGUACCUACGGGGCGCAGCAGUGGGGAAUAUUGGGCAAUGGGCGCAAGCCUGACCCAGCAAUGCCGCGUGAAGGAAGAAGGCCUUCGGGUUGUAAAGAUCUUUAAUCGGGGACGAAUUUUGACGGUACCCGAAGAAUAAGCUCCGGCUAACUACGUGCCAGCAGCCGCGGUAAUACGUAGGGAGCAAGCGUUAUCCGGAUUUACUGGGUGUAAAGGGCGUGUAGGCGGGCAUGCAAGCCAGAAGUGAAAUCUGGGGGCUUAACCCCCAAACUGCUUUUGGAACUGC